Peromyscus maniculatus bairdii (prairie deer mouse) is the source of this 3186-nucleotide non-coding RNA. Lineage: Eukaryota; Metazoa; Chordata; Mammalia; Rodentia; Cricetidae. The record is from RefSeq and is a predicted model, not a curated record.
GUGACCAGUGGAGAGCAGUGGAGAGCAGUGGAGAGCAGUGGAGAUCGUGGCUGCUGGGAAAGCUGACGGACACCUCCAGACCUCCCCGAAGGGGGCCUGACUUGGUCCUUUGCUGACUGGAGCAGCAUGGCUGCCGGCCCUGGCCGUGGUGUGGAGUGGAGGCAGGCGGGUAGACCACCACCAGCCACACUCGGCCCCUCCCACCCUCCUCCUCAAACAGGGGGAAGGAGACUUGAACUUUUAAAUUGCCAUUUGGCACCUUUCAAUUUUUAAAUCUGAGGAUCAAUUCAGCUGUGACCUGAACUGCUCCAGACUGAGAAAUCUAUCAAGUCCUUGACAGACCAGUUACUCACUUUGGAUGGUUUCCCAAGAUGCAUGUUAAUUCUAUUUGAUAACCUAUGGUAGGCCCAGGCAGUUUUCUCAUCUCUUUCUGCAGUGGCCCACAUGCUUACAUCAAGAAAUCUUACCCAGGCAGUGGUAGGCACACACCUUUAAUCCCAGUGGGGGCAGAGGCAGGCAGAUCUCUGUGAUCUUGAGGCCAGCAUGGUCUAGAGUUAGUUCCAUGACAGCCAGGGCUACACAGAGAAAACCUGUCUCAACACACACACACACACACACACACACACACACACACACACACACACACACACACACACACACCAAAAACAAAAACAACUUAGGUUGUCAGAACUGAUGCCUUCAAUGCCAGCACUUUAGAGGCAGAGGCAGGAGGAUCUCUAUGUCUAUGAGCUCAAUGCCAGCCUGGUCUACAUAGCAAGUUCCAGGACAGCCUGGUCCACAUAGAGGGACCCUGUUUCAAAACAAUAACAAAACCUUAAGUUUAAAUACAUAUAAAACCACCUGCACACGACUCUCAUGGUGGUGCUAUGUAUCCAAGUAGAAAUUCCAUAUAUAUGUGGAAUACACACACACACACACACACACACACAGGUCAUAUCUAUCCAGGGAGAUCAUCCACAUGUUUUCAAUUUCAAACGUAAUUUCUUUAUAGCCAGGAUGAUCAUGUUUCAGGAAAACAAUUCCCACAGGAUGAGUGACAUGUUGACAGCAUGAAUAGCAUUCACCCCAUGUUUCUAGGGGCUGAGCCCUGUCCUAAUUUCUGUUGUCUCCCCUCGACACAAGGACCAGAAGGGACUACCAUGCACAUCCAUGAGGAGCUGGGUGCAUGUCUGGAAAGCAUCCCCUAGAGGGGCCUUUAGCUCCGGCCUGCUGGCUCCCCAACUCUGGUUAGGUACUCACUACCCCGCUGUGGGGACAACCCCCUCCGUCUUUGGAAAACUUGUUCUCAUGGUUGCAGCCAGUAUGGCCGUGUAGAACAAGUCCAUUCCCUUUGCACAACCACCUCUCAAACACCAGGAAGGACUAUGUCUAAGAGGCUCGGUAGUGUUCGGUAAGAACCGUAAGGGUUUCCUUCGAAGCCAAGGCAGGGGAGGCAGCUCAGGCCUCCCACACAGCAUCCCCUCAGAGGUGCUAGCAGGCCCAGCCUCCCCCUUGCUGGCCGAGGAAACGCUGUUGAGUCAUUCUGAAGGGAAAAUUGGAACCAUGUGCAUAUACCAAGGGUCCUGUCACUCUAGAUUUGCCAGUGUGCAUGCUCAGUGUUCCCAAGAGGGAAGAGACUGCCUGCUGGGCACCUAAAUGUAGGCAGUGAGCAGAUUAACAAUUUACUAAAAUGCAAAAAAUGUGCUGGGCAACUUAAGUUAUAAACUCAAGUACCUUCCCAUUCAUCUGGUCUCUCAAUAAUGGCUUUAACAGAGCGUGACGGCGCGAGUAUCCCUGACACUUACGAACUGUGUGCCCUUCUUGCAGAGGGCUGCAGCUGGCUCCAGCGUGGCCGGUGGUACCUUCUGCCCACCUCAGCUCUCCUGCACCCUUAAGUGGGAAAAGGGACCGUCUGGACCACUGCUGCUUCCACACUUGCGGGGACAAUGGGAGCUUCCAUUUCUGCGUCUGCAAGGGAGGCUGCUGUCGCCUAACACCCUGCUGACUUGCUAGGCACAUCCCAUGCUCAGCAGUCAAGUCAGCCAAGCAUGGCUCCUCAAUUGUCCUUUCCCGCUUAACUCUCUUCCCGGCGCCUCUGGGCCCUGCUGCGGCCACGGGCAGGCCCCAACUAAGAAGAGCCCCUGGCUGCGUGCUGCCAAUGACCACACCACAUGCCCGGCACCCCCCCACCCCACCCCGUUCAUUCAUUCUCAGUGUAGAGAUGCAUGACCCUGCUGCAUUCGGCCGGCAUAGAGCACACCUGUCCCUUUCUGGCACUGUAGCACUGCAGUGGCCACGGAGUGGAGCUGACCUCUGCUAGGUCACAGGUUGUUCGGAACCUCAGCAAUGUGCCACACAGCUCUUCCCACCAGCCCUCUGCUCUUCAGAAGUCCCUCCUCGUUCCAGAUCCGAGAAAGGCCACAAAGCUCCGUGAGCAACCCAAGAAGCAAGACAAGAGUCAGCCAUGUUCUCCCAGUCCUGAGUCCACCUCACACACACGUGCACAAAGACCAGAGAAAUGCACUGGAGGACCAGCAGGGCUCACCUCUGAGUGUGUGUGUGUUCCAGCAUGUGCAGGUACAUGUGUGUGUGUUCCUGUAUAUGUGGAUAGUAUUCCUGUAUGUGCAGGUAACGUGUGUUCCUUUAUGUGUGGCUGUUGGUGCAUUCCUGUGUGUGCAGGUUCAUGUGUGUGCUCAUGUUUGGGUACAUGUGUUCCUGUAUGUCUGGGUACAUGUGUGUAUUCCUGUAUGUGCAGGUACAUGUGUGUUCCUGUAUGUGCGGGUACAUGUGUGUGUUCCUGUAUGUGCGGGUACAUGUGUGUGUUCCUGUGUGUGCGGAUACACGUGUAGAGGACAGAAGACAACCCAAAGUGUUUUUCAGGUAUCUUUCUCUUUCCUCAUUGGUCUGAAGGUCACCAAGUAGGCUAGCGGGCUCCACAGCAGGCCUCCAGGGACCUGCCUCUGCCUGUCCAGUGCUCUGACCCUAAGUGUGCACCACCAAGCCCGCCUUGUUUACGUGGGUUCUGGUGACUGAACUCAGGUACUGCACACGCCACCAACUGAGCCAUCUCUCCAGUCCUAAUUUUUAAAAAUACUUUAUCGUACCUGCUUAAAAUUCCUAUAAAGUUUAAUAAUUUUUAUAUUCUGUAAGUUUUUAAAAAUAAAGCAGUUGAAUCUGUUAAUUUGA